GAUGAACGCUGGCGGCGUGCCUAAUACAUGCAAGUCGAGCGAACAGACGAGGAGCUUGCUUCUCUGACGUUAGCGGCGGACGGGUGAGUAACACGUGGAUAACCUACCUAUAAGACUGGGAUAACUUCGGGAAACCGGAGCUAAUACCGGAUAAUAUAUUGAACCGCAUGGUGCAAUAGUUAAAGGCGGUUUUGCAGUCACUUAUAGAUGGAUCCGCGCCGCAUUAGCUAGUUGGUAAGGUAACGGCUUACCAAGGCAACGAUGCGUAGCCGACCUGAGAGGGUGAUCAGCCACACUGGAACUGAGACACGGUCCAGACUCCUACGGGAGGCAGCAGUAGGGAAUCUUGCGCAAUGGGCGAAAGCCUGACGGAGCAACGCCGCGUGUGUGAUGAAGGUCUUCGGAUCGUAAAACUCUGUUAUUAGGGAAGAACAGAUGUGUAAGAAUCUAUGCACGUCUUGACGGUACCUAAUCAGAAAGCCACGGCUAACUACGUG
This 497-nucleotide ribosomal RNA is filed under the name uncultured bacterium. Its description in RNAcentral is "partial 16S ribosomal RNA". It matches the Rfam family "Bacterial small subunit ribosomal RNA", at positions 28 to 507 of the family's 1533-position model. The record is from RNAcentral.